UAUUCCUCCCCCGCUUCCACUCGGUGUGUGUAUCUCUCUCUCUUUCUCUCUCUCUCUCCUCUCAAAAAUAAACGUUAAAAAAAAUUUAAGGGACAUGCAGGUUAAAAAAAUCAAGUCAAGGUUGUCACAAUGUGAACGCCUUGCACACUCAGUACAGCGAGUGCAUGGAGUUUGAGUGUGGGGAGCAGACUUACCUGUUUGACCCGGAGACAUCGCUUUGCAAAUGACUCUUUUCUGAACACCGGCCUUUUCUGACCAAUUUGAGGCGCCAUUGAGGGUGACUCACUCUAGCCCUUCAUUGAUGAUGCUCAUUUAUAGGCAGUACUUUUAUUUCCAAAUGGACUUCCUGUCCCACUGCCUUAGGGGUUGGUGGGCUGUGUGCCAACCGAGGUGUGGACCGCAGAAAGCGAGUGCGAGGGAAGCCAGCAGUCCGCGGGGCUGUGCUGAAGCGGGUGCGGCGAAGAGUGGCGCAACUUUCAGGAGGAACAAAAUACAGGGAAGUGUGAGAGACAUCAUCUGAUCAUUUAACUUUAGGUGAGUGCUGUUCCGAUAUGCUGUUUUCUUACCCCACGGUGUUAGUUUUACUGUCUGUAAUCUUCUGUUUAAUUAACAAAGACUUUAUUCUUACUUUGGAUUCAUACUGGCAUUCCACACCUGUGAUAGCUACUUGCUUGGAGUGACUCCCAGUUUGUUUCGGGUACACUGGUCCAGAACUGCAGGCUAGUUAAUGCCGUGACACGUAUGCCCAGGAUAGUGCUUUUGGGUAGACAAGGGAUGUAGCAGGAAUCUGGAAUGUACAGAUUGAGUUGCUGGCUAAGGGUACAUGCACAUGGGCACAGUUUAGGCAGUAUCAUUUGAUUGUGUGGCUGUCCGGGACCAACCAAGUUCAUAUCUUUAUGUUUAUGAAAUAAAGGUAAAAACAGACCAGUUCAACCUACACCAAAGUCAAAAAGAGCAAGGCAUAUUUCACUGUAGAAUUUGAGUUAGACAUUGAUGUACAGACGUCACAUUGUACUAGAGUGAAUACCAUUGCUUUCCGAAUAUAAUAAAGUAUUGUUACUUCAAAGAAGGAGCUUCAAUGAUCACUUAAUCAAGUCCCUGAGGCCCUGAGAGAAGAAGGGACUUCGUCAAGAUCUGUCGUUGAGUUAAGGUGCCACACUGUACAGUGGCAAAACUGGAUUGGCCAAGGUGUCCCCAGUCAUCACCACCUGUGAAUUCUUGCCAAGGAAAAGAAGCCCUUUCUUUUUCCACAAGGACUGAAAAGGUCCUGGUACCUACUCAGAGUCACGGAGGUCUAGCAGCAGAGGCCAGUGUCCUUAAGUCAUGUGAACUUGACCCAUGCCAUUUGAAGGGUAAUGCAUUUUGGCAAGUGGUGUUAGCAUCCCAGAACAUUUGAAGACAGAAUAACAACCCUUUAUAGCCCCCAGAAGCAUAGAAAGAGAAGUUUGUCCACUUUGCUGGGCCUGUCUCUUCAUAUGCAGACUUAGGGGAUGGGGCCAGUUGUUCACGCUUUUCUGUCCUGGCCCAGCUCCGUGACCUACAAUACCCCAUUUAACCUCUCUGGAGUAGUUUUCUCAUGCACAGAGUUAGGAGACUGGACUGACUUUUUCCUCUGCCUACAUUCUGGAACUCUUGUUUAAUUCUUGCACUCAUGUGAGCGCACACACACACGCACACACAACCAAGAAAGAAGGUAAAAGUGUCUGGGAAGCUGAGUGUUUGUAAGCUCAUGCUUCCCCUUGUUAAUUCUCGAUCUUUGGCUUCAGGGGUCCUUGUAAGUAACUGAUACCCAGUUUAGAGGUAAAAAAUCAAAACUGCAAAAAUGGCUGUGAGCUAGAACAUUUGUUUUUGUUGUGAUUUUUCAGUAUCAGUGUGAGAAAAUUAAUCUCACAAACCAUGAGAAAGGGAAGAAACAUUUGCCGGAACUGGAGGAGGCCCAGUAAGUCCAUUCUCCCCUGCGUACGUUUGGGGCUACGUCAUAAAAUGAGGCUAAUGGAAGCCAGGUUGGCCACCUUCGUUCCUGGUGCAGCCCAUGCUGGUCGGCCUGGCUUCUGUCUGUGGGCCAGUGGGUGGGUGUCCUGGUGCUGAGCUGCAGGAAUGGAAGACUCACUGGCUGGGCAGAAAAGGACCGGCUCACCCCCAAGAGGGAGGUGCGAGGGCGUGACCGAGCCCUGUGGUGCUCAGCGUCUCCUCUCUCCUUGCCGGUUACUUCGUCUCCCGCAGGGUCAAGUGAGUGUGGGAGCGGGAGAAAGGCAGGGUGUUACACCAGGGGGUACUCUUGCAAGGAAGGAGACAUCUGCCCGGAGCGGGAAGGAAGGUGGCCCUCAUACUUCUUCUGGGGAUCCACCUCGGUCACUUGGUUUCCAUCCUGUUUGCAGAUCUGUAUUUUCCUAGCGUGGUAAUUUUAAGCCCCUGGGGAGCAAGGUGUUCAUGAGGCUGCCUGAGCUAGAGUAAUGUCUACCUUUUCUUUCUUUUUUUUUUUUUUUUUUUUUUUUUUAAACAUUCAUUUAUUUUUGAGAAACAGAGAGAGAGAGCACAAGGGGGGCGGGGGGCGGGGGCAGAGAGAAGGAGACACAGAAUCCGCAGCAGGCUCUAGGCUCCGAGCUGUCAGCACAGAGCCCGAUGCAGGGCCUGAAACCCACCAACCGCGAGAUCAUGACCUGAGCCGAAGUCGGACGCCCAACCGACUGAGCCACCCAGGCGCCCCAAGUAACACCUGCCUUUUACUGGGCACUUUCUUUGUACUUGCCACUGUGCUGAGUGCUUGGGACUUGUUUUCAUCUAAUCAUUACUCCACAACAAGUUAAUAGGUGCCACUGUUAACUCCACUUUGUAGAUGAGGAAACUAAGGCUUAGCAAGGCUAAGCCGAUGCCUGGGGUUUAUAUAACUGGUGCAGAUUCAGAAAGUCAUGGGGCUCCUGGGUGGCCCAGCCAGUUAAGUGUCCGACUCUUGAUCUCACCUCAGGUCAUGAUCUCGCAGUUCAUGGGAUUGAGCCCUCCAUUGGGCUCUGCGCUGGUGACACGGAACCUGCUUGGGAGUCUCUGUGUCUCUCUCUGCCCCUUGCUCACUCUCUUGCAUGCUCUCUCUCUCUAAAAUAAGUAAACAUUAAAAGAAAAUCACUGGAAAAAAACCCUUUGGAUACUACUCCUGAAAUCAUUAUUGCACAAUACGCUAACUUGGAUGUAAAUUAAAAAAUAAAUAAAAAUCAAAAAAAAAAAAAAAAGAGAGAGACAGACAUGUCAUUUUCUUCCAUUCUAACUCUGUAUGACAUGCUUGUGUUGUGUUCUCUAAUUCUGAUACCGAGUAGCCCCAGGAAGGUGGCUGGAAUGGCGUAGGGCUUAGGGAAAAACUUGAGCACCGUGGCUAAGAAGAAACAGUCGGAAGAGAAGAGUCAGAAGAGCAGGUCUGAGGUGAUCAGUAGUGUCAUCCUGGUAGGUGAGGAACCCGUGCUUUCUGGGUAGGCCAUGACGUACAGAUAGAUACAGGCACAGACUUACACUUGAUACUCACCGCCACUUACUGGUGGCAUUGCCAGGUGCCAGCACCCGUGCCGGGUGUUUUAUGGGUACUGGUCUCUUGGAAACGUGAAUGCAGCGGUAUCUUUUAAAGGGACUGGCGAGUGUUUUACAGUGUCCCUUUUGUCUGCCCUUAAACCUCUAUCCAUGUAUACACGGGACCUCCUAGACCGAAACACCGCCUCACGAUCCACCUAAGACGACUUGUAUCCUUAGGGCUGGAAAGGACCCACACAGAGGAUGUUCAGGUUCAAAGUCAGGGCCUCUGGGAGCUGGUGCAGCUUGUAGUGUUGCUUUUUUUUAGCAUUUAUUUUUGAGAGAGCAUGAGCAGAAGGGGAGCAGAGAAAGGAUGACACAGACUCCGAAGCAGUCUCUAGGCUCUGAGCUAUUCGCACAGACCCCAACGCGGAGCUCAAACUCACGAACUGUGAGGUCAUGACUUCGUGGAGAAGUCUUACACUUAAGUGACUGAGCCACCAAGGUGCCCCUGCAGUAUUGCUUUUUAAACCAGAAGUCCAAAUAUUUUCUUUUUCUUCCUCCUUUUAAUGAUGUCAUCUUCUGUUUAAGUCUGUUAGAUGCGGUUUCCUUUUGGUCUCAGUCGUAUUCACGCUCCCUUUCAAAGGCACCGUCCGUGUCCCGGGCCAGGGGCUUGGCUUCAGGGAUCUGCAGUGUUGGUGGCCAACUCCCUUAGACGUCACUUCCAUCUUUACAGUGGACGGUAUUCAUUUUGAGUGACGUAAGGGGAAUAAUAAGCAAGGAUGGACUUGCGCAUAGACAUUCCAGGCUCGGUUCAGAUCACUUCCAUUAGAGGAUGUAUAAAUAAUAGCAAAUCCUUUGGGGCCAUGUUUAAAUUACUACUGUUUUAAAAACUUCCCAUUGUUAGCUGGAGUUGUUUGUUUUAUACUUUGGAAAUAGAAUUUUAAUCUAAUUUGACUUACGAUAGCCUGGCCUCAUAGCAUUGCUUUCUGGAAUUGUAAGUAACCUUUAACAGAUAUUGCUUAUUUUGCCCUUUUAAAAUAAUGGUUUAACAAAUGAAAAGAAAUGCACAUGCAUUGAAAAAAGACUUGGAAGAGAGAGAACACAGGGUCCAUAGAGAUUGGCUCUAGGAUAGAACUGGCCAUUGCUAUCUUAGCAAUGUUAGGUUGUCUGCACGUUCCAAAGUUUCCAUCUAAAUGGAUAUUUUUCCUUAAUUUUACAAAAUGUGACCAUUGGGAAAACAGAAGCAAGAGAAUUUGAAAAAUCACCCCCGACCCCAGCACUCCGUUCACCACCGCUGGCAUUUUGGUGUCCUGCACUCGUCUCUGAGUAGCAAAUGUGUUUCGUUCCCCAGAUCUGCAGUUUUCCCCCUUUGCCCAGGUUCCCGACAGCCUGCCCAAGGCUGUAUCUUCACAGAAGGACUCUCCUCCCCGACAGUAGCAGCCCCUGCUGAGUCUAACAGAUAAGCCACCUUCACAAUGAACCCAAACAGGAACCUUAGGGAGGAAACGCUGUCCCCCUACAGUUAGUCUGUAGCCCCAAAUGAGAACAGUGUGUUCUGUAGUAAAAUGUAAUCUAUGCACUGUGUUGACAUUGCGUGAAAUUUGUUUAUUUAUAGUAAAGCUCGUAUGUAUCUGGGAUAGUUUCUGCAUUGAGCCCAUUAAGAAAAUUUUGAGUGUGGGCAGAAUUUAAACAGAUUAUUUCCUUAUUUCCUCUAACGGGCAUGCAGCUGCUCUGUUUAACCUACCCGUUCAUAGAAAGUUUUCAGAGACAUGUUUUUUUCAAACCAAGGAAUAUGUGAUUUGGCGAUGGAAUCUAUAAAUAAAGUGACCCAUUUUUAACUAGAUUGCUGGUGUGCUUUUCAGCAGGACUUUGUGGUUUAGCUAAUGAAAUCUUUUCACACAUGAUCCUCUGAACCUUGUGUCUAGUUCUAUCACUGCCGCGUUUAUGACUUAAUUGCCUUUGUGGUUUAAUUCACUUCAUGACACAUUCAUCACCAUGAAGUUGUACACUCUUCACCCCCCUCUGUCCUAGUAUUUGCUUGAUGACUUUUGGGGUCAAGGAGAGGUCAAGAGGUGGUUUUGUGCUAUUAAAAAUAAGUGGUUGUUUGCAUAGGCUAAUCCGUCUUGUUUAAUUAAAACGGUCUUUGAAAUUUUAAUUAGUGCAUUGAAUCUGCUUCCUCUUGAUAAUUUUCUGUUCCAUAAUACUAUCGGUUGAGCCUAUAAUAAGUUAUUUCUUUUACUUGUAGAGAAUUAGAGUUUAUAAAGUCCUUUCGUAUUUAUUCUUCCACGUAAUCAUUCCAACAUUCUCCUCCCCCCAAACCCCGAUAUGACAGAUAUUAUUAUCCUCAGAUUUUUUGCAGGUGGGGAAACUGAGGUAGAGAAAUUAUAGGGAGAGUAUGCUGGGUCCUUACGGCUAUUAGAUGGCAGGCCUGGGAUGCUCCCACUAUAGAAAGCGGACAGUUGGGAUAUUACCAUUUAGGAAAAGGCUCCUGUUUCAUUGUUGUCUGGGAGCCUUGGGGUGGCCCUCGUGUUAACACCUUGCAAGUAUGUCGGGAGGCCCCUGUGGAGUACUGGAGUGUGAGAUUUUCAGCUACACCAAGGAAGUUGACUUGGUCACGUCUUCCAUCCUUGUGGUUCUGGCCAUGAGUUCACGUGGCGACACAGCUUCACAUCGACGGGUGUUAAAGUCGGCUUUUGGAGGAACCAGAAUCUGUUCUUUUUUUAAAAAAAAUUUUUUUUUCCUUGCAUUUAUUUAUUUUUGAGAGACAGAGACAGCAUGAGCAGGGGAGGGGCAGAGAGAGAGGGAGACACAGAAUCCGAAGCAGGCCCCAGGCUCUGAGUUGUCAGCACAGAGCCCGACACAGGGCUCGAACCCAUGAACCCCUUGAGAUCAUGACCUGAGCUGAAGUGGGACGCUUAACCCACUGAGCCACCCAGGCACCCCGCAGAAUCUGUUCUUACUUGCUUCCUCUAGAGGCAGUGUCUGUUGGUGUAGAGUUUUUCCACUUUCCCCCCCUUGUGACUGUGGUGUCCACACUUUCCAGAUGCAUCCAAGUGUAGGUCUUCCUGACCAUGCCACUCGACUACACAGAGCAUGGAGAGAGUCAUACCCCGGGCACAGCCCUUGUGGCUCCGGGCUGAGCUCCUGUUCCUCUCCACCCCUCCACGGGAGAGACGUUACGUACACAUAGGUGUGGUGCUCAGCGAUUUAAAUGUUUCCCUUCCAAUUCUCAUUUCAUCUUCUGCCGGCCUUGUGAGGUAGGAGGAACAGAGGUGAGCACCUGCAUCGUCCAGCUCCCGUGCUCUAAUCUGCCAACGAGGAGACCACAAGACUCGGAAACAAAAACGCGAGGCCAAAGUCACAAAGCGACGAUGCUGGACCUGAAGCCAGGUAUUUCUGGCUUCAAAAUGCCUGCUCCCUCUACUGUAGUAAGCUGCCUUUCCAAAAGUACAACACAGAUUUUUUUUAAAGCUUUAGGAUUAAAAUGACACCUGAGAGACAUCACGUUUGCGCAGUAAGCCGCUUCCUCCCUCAAAAGUUGUCUCCAGUUUCUGACAUAGAAUUAAUUUAAGAAAUGUUCACAAUUUAAAUUUAUAACUCAGUUUGCUCCUGGCAUAUGCAUUCUCGAAUUUAGAAUACUAUCACAAACCCUUUAGUUAUUACAGAAAUAUUAUAAACACCUACAACUAUCCAUCCUGGUGAGGAGAUUUGCCAGUCACAGCUUCAAAAUUCUAUUCCACGCUUAAAAGAUAUUCCAUAAGCUAAGAAGUUCACAAUUACCUACUUUCAAAAUAAGAUAAUAGUGUUUCCCUUGGUUGGAUUAUAAAAACAGAUUCUUGACUCCAAAUCCAGCUGACCAACCCCACGUUAUGAUCAAAAUGAGAAGUCUGAAUAUAGGCAGACUCGAGGGAUGCAGUGAACUACCCAGUAAAUAAAAUGUAAAUCAAAGAGAAUAAAAUCAAGUAGUACCUUUAUAACUCUCAGUGUCUGCAUGCAAAUAUAACCCCCCUUCAGAGUGAGGUACACAUGGUCUUUUAAAAAUUAUUGUGGAUCAGAAGCAAAAAAUUAGCAAGUGCAGGAUCUUUUGAUAAAACAAUCAGAUUUAGUCAAAUUUAAUUAACAUCAUCAGGGAAGAAAGGGAGGAAGAAAAUCCCAAAUACGGAUAAUUCAGAGGUCAUUUUUUGGGGUCUUUUCAGCAAUAGAUUUAGUUUUUUCACCAUCUGUGCUGUGUUUUUGACAGACAUAAAAAAUAAUUUCCUCUCCCUCGAUACGUGUCGGCUAACGGGGAGCGAGUACGCAGAAAGGGGAGCAACCACAGGUAGUCAAAGGAAAGGACCGGUUGGAGCUUUAAAUUUUGACCCACACCGUGCAGCUUACAUGCAGAGAGAGAGAGAGCAUGAGUGGAGUAGGAGGAGUGAGAGGGAGAGAGAAUUCCAAGUGGACUCCGCGCCACCAGCCCACAAACUGCAAGACCGUGACCUGAGCUGAGAUCAAGAGUCGGACAGUGAGCCACUGAGGCCUUCUAGACCUAACUCCUGACUCCUCCCAAGAGCCCCACAGGUUGGAA
Molecule: long non-coding RNA, 8062 nt
Organism: Neofelis nebulosa (Clouded leopard)
Lineage: Eukaryota; Metazoa; Chordata; Mammalia; Carnivora; Felidae
Exons: 3
Source: RefSeq, a predicted model, not a curated record